GACAUACCCAUGGACCAGUGGGCAUUGUUUGUUAAUUAUCGCAGGAACCUGAAAACACAGGAGCUUUGUAGGGAGAAUCAACAGAGUCGACAAAACCAAAUUCCUCAUACCGGUGGCGCUAAGAGUUUGGCUAGAAGAAGGGCCGAAAUGAAGGCAAAGGGAAAAGCUGUUGAUUGAGGCCAAAUGUGGAUGGAGACUCAUAAGAGAAAAGAUGGGAGUUAUGUAACUGAUGAGGCUAGGGUGAUUGAGGCAUCAGAUUUAGGGGGUGGUGCUCUGUCACCAAUUUGAGCAAGAAGAUCUACAGAUGGAAGCAACAAGGAUGAUGGUUGAAGUGCCGAUUUGAAAUCAUUUUUAGGAUGAACGUUGAUAUUUUUGGAUAUUCUUGUUGGCUAAUACGUUGAAACUAUAGUAUUUUGAUGAUGUAAUUUUGGAGUGUUGAAUAACACUUUGAAACUUUGAUGAAUAUGUUCAAUAUUUUGCUUAUUUGCUCUUUUA
Lycium ferocissimum is the source of this 495-nucleotide long non-coding RNA. RefSeq lists it as uncharacterized. The record is from RefSeq and is a predicted model, not a curated record. Lineage: Eukaryota; Viridiplantae; Streptophyta; Magnoliopsida; Solanales; Solanaceae. The transcript has 4 exons.